Molecule: unclassified non-coding RNA, 209 nt
Filed under: Hevea brasiliensis (rubber tree)
Lineage: Eukaryota; Viridiplantae; Streptophyta; Magnoliopsida; Malpighiales; Euphorbiaceae
Source: RNAcentral
UGGCGCUCAAUGGUGGUGAUGCCAGUGGGAAGUGCAAAGGCAAUAAGAAAUAAAGCAAUGCUUCGGCACUGUAAUUGGAAACAUUUUGGAGUUGAUCUUCAACGCUUUCUCCCAGAUUCCUUUGAGACCUUUCAAAAACCUUUUAAUUUCCCAAAUAGCAACCCAAAUCAACUGUGUCAGUUAUAAAGAAAGAAAUCAGAAUUGUAGUU